UGACAGGUGGGGACGGUCGACUGAGCUUACAUGUGGGCCGACGCAACGAAUGACAGGUGGGGGCGGUCAAUUUAGCUUACAUGUGGGCGGACGUCCUCUCAAAAAAAAACACACUACUACAGUAAAGUACACUAGUGGAGGUCAAAAAAUGUGGUCAGUGGCGGUGAACCUGCCCGCCACUAACCGUGCGUCACUGGUGCUCUGCCCACCACUGGCGGUUCUUUUGACCGCCACCGGUGCUGUGCCCACCAGUGGCCGGCAGGUAUCCCCGCCACUGGUAACAAUUUUGUGAUUUAAAAAAAAAGCAGGCCCGUGGCCUGCAAUCCACAGCAAAUCCGAUAUAAAUCACAGAAAAUCCGAUAUAAAUUACAGAUCUGAAAUUCAACCGAGAAACCGAAACCAGUACAUAGAACACACAGAUCGAUCAUCCAUAGAAACUUUAACAGAGAAACCAAACAGAUUACAGAGCAUACACAUCACUACUUUAACCUUGAAAUGAAAUCAACUCCAUUACAUAGCAUAUAUACACAUCACAGGCAAGGGCUCGGACGAGGUGCAUGCCGCAUACGGGGCCGCCGCUGGACGCCGGCACAAGGCUGCUACCAUCUUGCUCCCGGAGAGCAGGUCGUCCACCACCAUAUGAGAAAGAGAGAGAAAGAGUGUGAGAGAGAGACAGAGAAUGAAAGAGAAAACUGAGAGAGAUGAAGAGAAAAAGACGUACC
This 722-nucleotide long non-coding RNA is filed under the name Brachypodium distachyon (stiff brome). RNAcentral describes it as "long non-coding RNA (BDIS_LNC005748)". Lineage: Eukaryota; Viridiplantae; Streptophyta; Magnoliopsida; Poales; Poaceae. The record is from RNAcentral.